GAUCAUGGCUCAGGAUGAACGCUGGCGGCGUGCCUAAUACAUGCAAGUGAAACGGGUAUCUUCGGAUACCAGUCGCGGACGGGUGAGUAAUACAUAGGCAACCUGCCUUUAUGAGGGGGAUAACCGAGGGAAACUUUGGCUAAUACCGCAUGAAGACUCUAAGGCAUCUUAGAGGGAUAAAAGUUGGGAAACAACGCAUGAAGAUGGGCUUAUGGCGCAUUAGCUAGUUGGUGAGAUAGAAGCCCACCAAGGUAAUGAUGCGUAGCCGACCUGAGAGGGUGAACGGCCACAUUGGGACUGAGACACGGCCCAAACUCCUACGGGAGGCAGCAGUAGGGAAUUUUCGGCAAUGGGGGGAACCCUGACCGAGCAACGCCCGCGUGAAGGAAGAAGGUUUUCGGAUUGUAAACUUCUGUUAUAAGGGAAGAACGGAUUGGAUAGGGAAUGAUCUGAUAGUGACGGUACCUUAUUAGAAAGCCACGGCUAACUACGUGCCAGCCGCGGC
This 505-nucleotide ribosomal RNA is filed under the name uncultured bacterium. RNAcentral describes it as "bacterial SSU rRNA". It matches the Rfam family "Bacterial small subunit ribosomal RNA", at positions 15 to 518 of the family's 1533-position model. The record is from RNAcentral.